CGGCGACCGGCGCACGGGUGCGUAACGCGUAUCAAACCUGCCUCAUACUCGGGGAUAGCCUUGCGAAAGUAAGAUUAAUACCCGAUGUUAUUAGUUCACCGCAUGGUGGGCUAAUCAAAGAUUUAUCGGUAUGAGAUGGUGAUGCGUCCGAUUAGGUAGUAGGCGGGGUAACGGCCCACCUAGCCUUCGAUCGGUAGGGGUUCUGAGAGGAAGGUCCCCCACACUGGAACUGAGACACGGUCCAGACUCC
RNAcentral lists this ribosomal RNA (250 nucleotides) under uncultured Prevotellaceae bacterium. RNAcentral's name for it is "partial 16S ribosomal RNA". It matches the Rfam family "Bacterial small subunit ribosomal RNA", at positions 89 to 339 of the family's 1533-position model. The record is from RNAcentral. Lineage: Bacteria; Pseudomonadati; Bacteroidota; Bacteroidia; Bacteroidales; Prevotellaceae.